CAAUAGCGUAUAUUAAAGUUGUUGCAGUUAAAAAGCUCGUAGUUGGAUUUCGGGGCAGCCUGGCUGGUCCGCCGCAAGGCGAGUACUGGUCAGCCGCCCUUCCUCUCGAAAGCCCCGACUGCUCUUCGUUGCAGUGGUCGGGUAGUUCGGGACGUUUACUUUGAAAAAAUUAGAGUGUUCAAGGCAGGCCUACGCCUGAAUACAUUAGCAUGGAAUAAUGGAAGAGGACCUCGGUCCUAUUUUGUUGGUUUCCAGGGCCGAAGUAAUGAUUAAGAGGGACAGUUGGGGGCAUUCGUAUUUAAUUGUCAGAGGUGAAAUUCUCGGAUUUAUGAAAGACGAACUACUGCGAAAGCAUUUGCCAAGGAUGUUUUCAUUAA
Molecule: ribosomal RNA, 377 nt
Filed under: uncultured eukaryote
Lineage: Eukaryota
Description: partial 18S ribosomal RNA
Rfam family: Eukaryotic small subunit ribosomal RNA
Source: RNAcentral